AACGCACAUUGCGCCCUCUGGUAUUCCGGGGGGCAUGCCUGUUCGAGCGUCAUUACAACCUUCAAGCAUUGCUUGGUAUUGGGUGCUUCGUUCCUUAAACUUUAGGGGGCGCACCUGAAAGUUAGCGGCGGUACGGCCGGUGAUCGAGCGUAGUAAUAACACUGCUUUCCGCUUGAGAGUCACCUGGACGUUCCAGCCGGGCAACUCAACUAUUUUUUUUUUCAAUGGUUGACCUCGGAUCAGGUAGGGAUACCCGCUGAACUUAA
This 266-nucleotide unclassified non-coding RNA is filed under the name uncultured fungus. Its description in RNAcentral is "partial contains 5.8S ribosomal RNA, internal transcribed spacer 2, and large subunit ribosomal RNA". The stretch from base 1 to 52 matches the Rfam family "5.8S ribosomal RNA", at positions 103 to 154 of the family's 154-position model. The record is from RNAcentral. Lineage: Eukaryota; Fungi.